UACGUAGGGUGCGAGCGUUAAUCGGAAUCACUGGGCGUAAAGCGCGUGUAGGCGGCCUCUUAAGUCUGGUGUGAAAGCCCGGGGCUCACCCCCGGAAGGGCACUGGAUACUGGGAGGCUAGAGUACCGGAGAGGAGGGUGGAAUUCCUGGUGUAGCGGUGAAAUGCGUAGAUAUCAGGAGGAACACCGGUGGCGAAGGCGGCCCUCUGGACGGCUACUGACGCUGAGACGCGAAAGCGUGGGGAGCAAACAGG
RNAcentral lists this ribosomal RNA (253 nucleotides) under uncultured bacterium. RNAcentral describes it as "partial 16S ribosomal RNA". It matches the Rfam family "Bacterial small subunit ribosomal RNA", at positions 524 to 776 of the family's 1533-position model. The record is from RNAcentral.